UCCGUAGGUGAACCUGCGGAGGGAUCAUUACCGAGUCUAACAACUCAUCAACCCUGUGAACAUACCUAAACGUUGCUUCGGCGGGAACAGACGGCCCCGUAACACGGGCCGCCCCCGCCAGAGGACCCCCUAACUCUGUUUCUAUAAAUGUUUUUUCUGAGUAAACAAGCAAAUAAAUUAAAACUUUCAACAACGGAUCUCUUGGCUCUGGCAUCGAUGAAGAACGCAGCGAAAUGCGAUAAGUAAUGUGAAUUGCAGAAUUCAGUGAAUCAUCGAAUCUUUGAACGCACAUUGCGCCCGCCAGUAUUCUGGCGGGCAUGCCUGUUCGAGCGUCAUUACAACCCUCAGGCCCCCGGGCCUGGCGUUGGGGAUCGGCGGAGCCCCCCGUGGGCACACGCCGUCCCCCAAAUACAGUGGCGGUCCCGCCGCAGCUUCCAUUGCGUAGUAGCUAACACCUCGCAACUGGAGAGCGGCGCGGCCAUGCCGUAAAACACCCAACUUCUGAAUGUGACCUCGAAUC
RNAcentral lists this small RNA (520 nucleotides) under Fusarium solani. RNAcentral describes it as "eukaryotic LSU rRNA". The stretch from base 182 to 335 matches the Rfam family "5.8S ribosomal RNA". The record is from RNAcentral. Lineage: Eukaryota; Fungi; Ascomycota; Sordariomycetes; Hypocreales; Nectriaceae.